RNAcentral lists this ribosomal RNA (488 nucleotides) under uncultured bacterium. RNAcentral describes it as "bacterial SSU rRNA". It matches the Rfam family "Bacterial small subunit ribosomal RNA", at positions 30 to 507 of the family's 1533-position model. The record is from RNAcentral.
UGAACGCUAGCUACAGGCUUAACACAUGCAAGUCGAGGGGCAGCAUGGUCUUAGCUUGCUAAGGCCGAUGGCGACCGGCGCACGGGUGAGUAACACGUAUCCAACCUGCCGUCUACUCUUGGACAGCCUUCUGAAAGGAAGAUUAAUACAAGAUGGCAUCAUGAGUCCGCAUGUUCACAUGAUUAAAGGUAUUCCGGUAGACGAUGGGGAUGCGUUCCAUUAGAUAGUAGGCGGGGUAACGGCCCACCUAGUCUUCGAUGGAUAGGGGUUCUGAGAGGAAGGUCCCCCACAUUGGAACUGAGACACGGUCCAAACUCCUACGGGAGGCAGCAGUGGGGAAUAUUGGUCAAUGGGCGAGAGCCUGAACCAGCCAAGUAGCGUGAAGGAUGACUGCCCUAUGGGUUGUAAACUUCUUUUAUAAAGGAAUAAAGUCGGGUAUGCAUACCCGUUUGCAUGUACUUUAUGAAUAAGGAUCGGCUAACUCCGUG